AUUCUCAGCUCGGAUUGUAGGCUGAAACUCGCCUACAUGAAGCUGGAGUUACUAGUAAUCGCAGAUCAGAAUGCUGCGGUGAAUGCGUUCCCGGGUCUUGUACACACCGCCCGUCACACCACGGAAGUUGGGGGCGCCCGAAGCCACUUAGCUAACCCUUUUGGGAAGCGAGUGUCGAAGGUGAAAUCAAUAACUGGGGUGAAGUCGUAACAAGGUAUC
This 219-nucleotide ribosomal RNA is filed under the name uncultured bacterium. RNAcentral's name for it is "partial 16S ribosomal RNA". It matches the Rfam family "Bacterial small subunit ribosomal RNA", at positions 1284 to 1500 of the family's 1533-position model. The record is from RNAcentral.